GACGGAGGAUGCAAGCGUUAAUCGGAAUUACUGGGCGUAAAGCGUGCGCAGGCGGUCGUACAAGACAGAUGUGAAAUCCCCGGGCUCAACCUGGGAACUGCAUUUGUGACUGUAUGACUGGAGUGCGGCAGAGGGGGAUGGAAUUCCGCGUGUAGCAGUGAAAUGCGUAGAUAUGCGGAGGAACACCGAUGGCGAAGGCAAUCCCCUGGACCUGUACUGACGCUCAUGCACGAAAGCGUGGGGAGCAAACAGG
Molecule: ribosomal RNA, 253 nt
Filed under: uncultured bacterium
Lineage: Bacteria
Description: partial 16S ribosomal RNA
Rfam family: Bacterial small subunit ribosomal RNA
Source: RNAcentral